RNAcentral lists this ribosomal RNA (797 nucleotides) under uncultured Enterobacteriaceae bacterium. RNAcentral describes it as "bacterial SSU rRNA". It matches the Rfam family "Bacterial small subunit ribosomal RNA", at positions 8 to 795 of the family's 1533-position model. The record is from RNAcentral. Lineage: Bacteria; Pseudomonadati; Pseudomonadota; Gammaproteobacteria; Enterobacterales; Enterobacteriaceae.
AGAGUUUGAUUAUGGCUCAGAUUGAACGCUGGCGGCAGGCCUAACACAUGCAAGUCGAACGGUAACAGGAAGCAGCUUGCUGCUUUGCUGACGAGUGGCGGACGGGUGAGUAAUGUCUGGGAAACUGCCUGAUGGAGGGGGAUAACUACUGGAAACGGUAGCUAAUACCGCAUAACGUCGCAAGACCAAAGAGGGGGACCUUCGGGCCUCUUGCCAUCGGAUGUGCCCAGAUGGGAUUAGCUAGUAGGUGGGGUAACGGCUCACCUAGGCGACGAUCCCUAGCUGGUCUGAGAGGAUGACCAGCCACACUGGAACUGAGACGCGGUCCAGACUCCUACGGGAAGCAGCAGUGGGGAAUAUUGCACAAUGGGCGCAAGCCUGAUGCAGCCAUGCCGCGUGUAUGAAGAAGGCCUUCGGGUUGUAAAGUACUUUCAGCGGGGAGGAAGGCGAUAAGGUUAAUAACCUUGUCGAUUGACGUUACCCGCAGAAGAAGCACCGGCUAACUCCGUGCCAGCAGCUGCGGUAAUACGGAGGAUGCAAGCGUUAAUCGGAAUUACUGGGCGUAAAGCGCACGCAGGCGGUCUGUCAAGUCGGAUGUGAAAUCCCCGGGCUCAACCUGGGAACUGCAUUCGAAACUGGCAGGCUAGAGUCUUGUAGAGGGGGGUAGAAUUCCAGGUGUAGCGGUGAAAUGCGUAGAGAUCUGGAGGAAUACCGGUGGCGAAAGCGGCCCCCUGGACAAAGACUGACGCUCAGUGCGAAAGCGUGGGGAGCAAACAGGAUUAGAUACCCUGGUAGUC